RNAcentral lists this ribosomal RNA (855 nucleotides) under uncultured Actinomycetes bacterium. RNAcentral's name for it is "bacterial SSU rRNA". It matches the Rfam family "Bacterial small subunit ribosomal RNA", at positions 44 to 915 of the family's 1533-position model. The record is from RNAcentral. Lineage: Bacteria; Bacillati; Actinomycetota; Actinomycetes.
GUGCUUACACAUGCAAGUCGAGCGAUGAAGCACCUUCGGGUGUGAAUUAGCGGCGAACGGGUGAGGAACACGUGAGAAAUCUGCCUUCAACUCUGGGAUAACUCCGUGAAAACGGGGCUAAUACCGGAUAUGAGAUCUACAGGCAUCUGUGGAUCUGGAAAGUUUUUCGGUUGAAGAUGAUCUCGCGGCCUAUCAGCUUGUUGGUGAGGUAAUGGCUCACCAAGGCGACGACGGGUAGCCGGCCUGAGAGGGCGACCGGCCACACUGGGACUGAGACACGGCCCAGACUCCUACGGGAGGCAGCAGUGGGGAAUAUUGGGCAAUGGAGGAAACUCUGACCCAGCGACGCCGCGUGCGGGAUGAAGGCCUUCGGGUUGUAAACCGCUUUCAGCAGGGAAGAAGCGAAAGUGACGGUACCUGCAGAAGAAGCACCGGCUAACUAUGUGCCAGCAGCCGCGGUAAUACAUAGGGUGCAAGCGUUGUCCGGAAUUAUUGGGCGUAAAGAGCUCGUAGGUGGUUCGUCACGUCGGAUGUGAAACUCUGGGGCUUAACCCCAGACCUGCAUUCGAUACGGGCGAGCUUGAGUAUGGUAGGGGAGUCUGGAAUUCCUGGUGUAGCGGUGGAAUGCGCAGAUAUCAGGAGGAACACCAAUGGCGAAGGCAGGACUCUGGGCCAUUACUGACACUGAGGAGCGAAAGCGUGGGGAGCGAACAGGAUUAGAUACCCUGGUAGUCCACGCCGUAAACGGUGGGCACUAGUUGUGGGGACCUUCCACGGUCUCUGCGACGCAGCUAACGCAUUAAGUGCCCCGCCUGGGGAGUACGAUCGCAAGAUUAAAACUCAAAUGAAUUGACG